RNAcentral lists this ribosomal RNA (270 nucleotides) under uncultured archaeon. RNAcentral's name for it is "partial 16S ribosomal RNA". It matches the Rfam family "Bacterial small subunit ribosomal RNA", at positions 527 to 796 of the family's 1533-position model. The record is from RNAcentral.
CGAGGGUGCAAGCGUUAGUCGGAGUUACUGGGCGUAAAGCGUGCGUAGGUGGAUGCUCAAGUCGAUUGUGAAAGCCCCGGGCUUAACCUGGGAACUGCAGUCGAUACUGGGUUUCUCGAGUAUGGUAGAGGAAAGUGGAAUUCCCAGUGUAGCGGUGGAAUGCGUAGAUAUUGGGAAGAACACCAAUGGCGAAGGCAGCUUUCUGGACCUAUACUGACACUGAAGCACGAAAGCGUGGGGAGCAAACAGGAUUAGAGACCCGAGUAGUCC